UUUAUGGACCAUUUGGAGUACAAUACUCCAAACAUUAUUCAUAGUUGGUAAAAGUUUAUCGUUUGGACAAAUGUUUGACCAAAAAAUUUGUCCUUCGAAUAACUUGGACAUAUUUUUUUGUGAAAAAUCUGUCCUUUGGACAGAUUGGUAAUAAUUCAAAGUCUUCGCGACGGUCUUUCUUUCACUUAGAAAGAAAACAAACACUCUAACAUUCCAGCCAUCAUCCUUUACAUCCUAAGAAAACACAAGUUAAGAGAGAAAGAGAGAGGUGUUGGAGCGUGCAAAAUACUAAAGAUUUUUUCCGGAUAGUUUCCUUUUAAGGUCUUGUUGGUUUGGAGGAAACAACUUGUAUCUUUGUCUUUGGUUUCAAGUUUCUAGGUUUCUGUUUGUUAUGAGUUUGCUGAUGCCCGCUCCUCCUUUUCUAUUCCUGCAGUCUAGGUACGAUAUGAAUGGAAUGAGGAAGACUUGAUUAUAUUUGCUUUUGCGUCUUAUUCUAUCUCUUGGUUGUUAAAAGUAAAUGUUAGAAUUUGAAAUCUUUUAUGUUUGAUUUCAAGUAGGUAAUGAAGUAAUAAUCUUCUGUAUGUAGUUGGGUCUUUAUUUUUACAUGUGAUAUAUGAGAUUUAGAAUUCCUGUAUACGGUCUAUAUUUUUUUUUAGCUAAAUUUGGUUCUGAUUUUGGUAAAGCUUAAAAAAUGAUAUUCUAUUACUUGUUAGGUCCACUGUUCACAUUUGCUAGAAAAGUGUUCUAUUAAUUUAAAGAUCAUUCUUUCUGAAGGUAUGA
This 780-nucleotide long non-coding RNA is filed under the name Nicotiana benthamiana. RNAcentral describes it as "long non-coding RNA (NBEN_LNC010529)". Lineage: Eukaryota; Viridiplantae; Streptophyta; Magnoliopsida; Solanales; Solanaceae. The record is from RNAcentral.